RNAcentral lists this transfer RNA (61 nucleotides) under Actinobacteria bacterium BACL4 MAG-120813-bin39. RNAcentral's name for it is "tRNA-Met". It matches the Rfam family "tRNA", at positions 7 to 64 of the family's 71-position model. From Rfam's summary of the family: Transfer RNA (tRNA) molecules are approximately 80 nucleotides in length. Their secondary structure includes four short double-helical elements and three loops (D, anti-codon, and T loops). The record is from RNAcentral. Lineage: Bacteria; Bacillati; Actinomycetota; Actinomycetes.
GUGGAGCAGCUCGGUAGCUCGCUGGGCUCAUAACCCAGAGGUCGUAGGUUCAAAUCCUGCC